RNAcentral lists this ribosomal RNA (253 nucleotides) under uncultured bacterium. Its description in RNAcentral is "partial 16S ribosomal RNA". It matches the Rfam family "Bacterial small subunit ribosomal RNA", at positions 524 to 776 of the family's 1533-position model. The record is from RNAcentral.
UACGUAGGUGGCAAGCGUUGUCCGGAUUUAUUGGGUUUAAAGGGUGCGUAGGCGGCCUAUUAAGUCAGUGCUGAAAUAUCCCGGCUUAACCGGGAGGGUGGCAUUGAUACUGAUGGGCUUGAGUAAAGUUGAGGUAGGCGGAAUUGACGGUGUAGCGGUGAAAUGCUUAGAUAUCGUCAAGAACACCUAUUGCGAAGGCAGCUUACUAAGCUUUAACUGACGCUGAUGCACGAAAGUGCGGGGAUCAAACAGG